RNAcentral lists this ribosomal RNA (397 nucleotides) under uncultured bacterium. RNAcentral's name for it is "bacterial SSU rRNA". It matches the Rfam family "Bacterial small subunit ribosomal RNA", at positions 29 to 429 of the family's 1533-position model. The record is from RNAcentral.
AUUGAACGCUGGCGGAAUGCUUUACACAUGCAAGUCGAACGGCAGCACGGGGGCAACCCUGGUGGCGAGUGGCGAACGGGUGAGUAAUACAUCGGAACGUGCCCAGUCGUGGGGGAUAACGUAGCGAAAGCUACGCUAAUACCGCAUACGAUCUACGGAUGAAAGCGGGGGAUCGCAAGACCUCGCGCGAUUGGAGCGGCCGAUGGCAGAUUAGGUAGUUGGUGGGGUAAAGGCUCACCAAGCCGACGAUCUGUAGCUGGUCUGAGAGGACGACCAGCCACACUGGGACUGAGACACGGCCCAGACUCCUACGGGAGGCAGCAGUGGGGAAUAUUGGACAAUGGGGGCAACCCUGAUCCAGCCAUGCCGCGUGUGUGAAGAAGGCCUCGGUUGUAAG